This is a small nuclear RNA of Chiloscyllium plagiosum (whitespotted bambooshark), 103 nucleotides long. The record is from RefSeq and is a predicted model, not a curated record. Lineage: Eukaryota; Metazoa; Chordata; Chondrichthyes; Orectolobiformes; Hemiscylliidae.
UUGUCGAAAACACAUGUUUACUGAAAAUGAAAUGAUACAGAGAAGAUUGGCAUGGUCCUUGUGCAAGGAUGACAGACACACUUGUGAGGCAUUCCAUAUAAAA